GUCGCCUCCUAAAAGGUAACGGAGGCGCUCAAAGGUUCCCUCAGAAUGGUUGGAAAUCAUUCAUAGAGUGUAAAGGCAUAAGGGAGCUUGACUGCGAGACCUACAAGUCGAGCAGGGUCGAAAGACGGACUUAGUGAUCCGGUGGUUCCGCAUGGAAGGGCCAUCGCUCAACGGAUAAAAGCUACCCCGGGGAUAACAGGCUUAUCUCCCCCAAGAGUUCACAUCGACGGGGAGGUUUGGCACCUCGAUGUCGGCUCAUCGCAUCCUGGGGCUGUAGUCGGUCCCAAGGGUUGGGCUGUUCGCCCAUUAAAGCGGUACGCGAGCUGGGUUCAGAACGUCGUGAGACAGUUCGGUCCCUAUCCGUCGUGGGCGUAGGAAAUUUGAGAGGAGCUGUCCUUAGUACGAGAGGACCGGGAUGGACAUACCUCUGGUGUACCAGUUGUCGUGCCAACGGCAUAGCUGGGUAGCUAUGUGUGGACGGGAUAAGUG
RNAcentral lists this ribosomal RNA (489 nucleotides) under Staphylococcus aureus. Its description in RNAcentral is "partial 23S ribosomal RNA". It matches the Rfam family "Bacterial large subunit ribosomal RNA", at positions 2282 to 2770 of the family's 2925-position model. Lineage: Bacteria; Bacillati; Bacillota; Bacilli; Caryophanales; Staphylococcaceae. The record is from RNAcentral.